ACAGAGCAGAAGCAGCUCUCAGAGGGAAAAGAAGAUAGUAGAGAAAGUUAUGCACCAAAGUGGAGGGCACAGUUCUGACUUGGGCCAGGCAGUGUUAAGAAGGAAUUGGAGAGGUAUCAACCCACACUGUCUCUUAUACCCUUGGUCAGGAGCAUGAGGAGAACUACUGCACAUGUGCGGGCCAACGGACAUGGCUCUGAAGAAUUUCUGGAUAGGGUGCCUGGCGCGCACUCAUACUCACAUUUAGAAUACACUUAGAGACCAUCACUCUACGAAGAAUGUACACCUAAGGGGUCAGAUGGGUCUUCAAUAUGGAAGUUGAAGUCACUACCGAUGAGUGUGAAAGACUGGGAAGAGUUAUGGAAAGCUUCCACACACUGUCAGUGCCUUGCUAGUGUGCCACGCGCCGUGAGAUAUCUCUUCUCUUUGUGUGUGACUGAGUGUUUCCCUUGUGUGUGAAUUUAUUCAACAAAAUCUUGAGCUUCAUAAUGGCUACCAUGAGUGAAAAGAAAAAGAGAAAAAUAGAAUCAGAGCACAGAGUUUUCAACACUGAAUGGACAAAUAAAUACUUAUGUACUGUUUCCAAAGACAAAAUACUGUGCCUUGUGUGUCGCGAAAUGUUAGCCGUUCUGAAAGAAUACAACCUUCGGUGGCACUUUGAAACUAAACAUCCCAAUCUCGCCAAAUUGAACCCAAAUGAAAAAAUAAUUAAAGCAGCCAAUUUAGUGAAAAACCUUAGUGGAUAACAGCAAAUUUUCAAGAAAGUGAGCACUGAGAACGAUACAGUUACUAAAGUAAGCUUUCAAAUUUCUAAGGAAAUUGCUGCUGCUGGGAAAUGCUUCACAGAAGGCGAGUUUUUUAAAAAGUGUAUGUUGAUUGCUGUAUCUGAGUUAUGUCCAGAAAAGAGGGGAAUAUUUGAGAAUGUCAGUCUAUCACGCAUGACUGUACAGAGAAGAAUAGCUGACAUUUCUACUAAUCUAAGUGAUCAGUUAAAGCAGAGAGUCAGUGAAUUCUGCUUUUACUCCCUAGCUAUGGAUGAAAGCACCGAUUUAAAAGACACCGCCCAACUUCUUAUUUUUAUUAGAGGUAUUGAUAAAAACUUUGAAAUUACUGAAGAACUUGUUGGCAUGUCGCACAACUGGAAAAGAAAUCUCCAGUGAAGUGAUAAAGUGCAUGAAUGAUAAGUUGGGAGUAGAUUUCACAAACUUGGUGGCCAUUUGUACUGAUGGUGCUCCAGCUAUGUGUGGAAAAAAUGUUGGAGCAGUUACUCUUCUUGAAGGAUUUAUCGGGAGACAAAUAACCAAACAUCACUGCAUUAUACAUCAGCAGGUUUUGUGUAGCAAAGUCUUAAAAUUUGAGCAUGUAAUGUCAGUGGUAGUUUCCAUUGUAAACCUCAUCCGUUCUAGAGGACUAAAACAUAGGACAUUUCGAGCCUUUCUUGAAGGGGAAGACGCCGAGUGCAGCGACUUAAUCUACCAUACGGAAGCGAGGUGGUUGAGUCGAGGAAGAGUGCUCCAGCGUUUCGUUGCUUUGAAAGAGGAGAUAGCAAAAUUCCUAGAAAAUGGGCCAAUAAAAUUCCCGGAGCUUGAAAAUGAGUCCUGGAAUCAAGAUCUCUUUUUCUUUUGUGACAUUACAGCACACCUGAAUGAUCUCAACAUUCAACUUCAGGGGAAAAAAUCAACUUAUAUUUCAAAUGUGUGCAGCAGUGAAAGCUUUCGAAAUGAAAUUGAAACUUUUCAGAAGUCAGCUGUCAAAAGGUGAAAUGUGUCACUUUCCCACUUGUGCACAGCGUAUCCCUCAGCACAAACACGCCGAGUUAGGAGAAAAAUACGCAAAGCACAUCAUUCUUUUGAUUGAAGAAUUUGACAGAAGACUUACUUUGUCUAAAGAUGAAGCUGAUUGAAGAUUCCCUUUUCUGUGGAUCCAGAGGAAGUGCUACAAGAUUUGCAGUUGGAGGUUACUGAACUUCAAUGUUCGGCAGUUUACCGAAAUAAGCACAGAGAAAGCAGCCUGUGGGACUUCUCUGUUCUUCUCUGACUGACGACCAUUUGGAGACAUUAUGAAAAUAUCCACUUCAAAUAUGACCCCCGAAUACGACAAGCUUGUUGCCGAAAAGAGAUGUAAUAUCUCUCAUUAAAUUUGCAAGAUAAUUA
Long non-coding RNA from Malaclemys terrapin pileata, 2153 nucleotides. RefSeq lists it as uncharacterized. The transcript has 3 exons. Lineage: Eukaryota; Metazoa; Chordata; Testudines; Emydidae. The record is from RefSeq and is a predicted model, not a curated record.